RNAcentral lists this transfer RNA (74 nucleotides) under Glycine soja. It matches the Rfam family "tRNA". From Rfam's summary of the family: Transfer RNA (tRNA) molecules are approximately 80 nucleotides in length. The record is from Rfam by way of RNAcentral. Lineage: Eukaryota; Viridiplantae; Streptophyta; Magnoliopsida; Fabales; Fabaceae.
GGUCUAUUAGCUCAAAUGGGUAGAGUGUUGUGUUAAUAACCUGAAAAUCACAGGGUCAACUCCUGCUUGGACCA